UUCUCAUCUUCUAUUUUACAAAUUUUCCGAAAUUUUUUUUAUUGAUCGUUAAUCAUAUUGAAUGUUAAUUAGAUGACACGUAAAUCGAUUUAUUUAACGAAAAUAAAAUGUAUUUCAAUGAUCGAGUCGUAUCGUAUACAAAUGGUCAAUCGUAAAAUUUAUCGAGUAUACUUCAUAUAAAGAAUCGUAAGUAAGUUUGUUAGACUUUUAGGGUAAUAAAAAUAUUAUUACUAUUCUCUAUUUUUAGUACAGGCAAAAGGAAUUCAGAAAAAUAAUUCUUCAAUACCCUCCGCCCGGUUCGCGCAUUUUCUGUAUAACCGGGUAUACCGUUACAACCAUAAACGUUUUACGAUACGAGUAUUUCUGCUUCCUUUGCUCGAGAAAGCUGUAUUUUCCGGUUCAACUUAAUGAAAUUCGAAAUUGGUUAUCUUUUGAUAUGUAUUAAGAAAAAAAAAUAAAAAAAAAAAAAGAGAGAAAAAAAAGAGAAAAAAAUUCUUUAAAAUUUUGUAUAAGGGAGGAAGAAAUAUAAUAUCGUUUUCAAGGCUAAUUUUAAUGUCUAGAUAAAUAAAACAAAGGAACAGUACGGAAGACAAAUGCAUUCGAAACUGAUAUUCAGAAUGGGAAAUAGCUUUUCUAAUUGUCCACCAGGGUGACACCACCUAAAAAGUCAGCUCUACUUUUUAGAAACUUUUAGUCUUUUAGAAACUUUUAGUCUGAGUACACCGCUCGUACGAAUGAGUUUCGAUCCCUUAUUACGCGUUGAUGUAUAUAUAUAUAUAUAUACUAUUAGACUGUUGCUAUUACGUAAUAGCAACCAAUUUUGUCAAUUAAAAAUUGUGCAAUUAUUUAUUUUAUUAAAUUAUCAAUUAAAUUUUCCUUUUAUUCACGUAUCAAUUCUUAUCACGUAGAUAAGAAUUCUUUGAUUUUCGUGUUUCGACGUUUCUUCAUAAUUUUAAAAAUUAGUGAAUAUCGUGGAUAUAUUUGGUUAUUUUUGGAACAAUAUCUUUUUUUUUUUGUUUUGUUUUUUGUUCUUGUUUGUUUUCGGACUUUUGUGACAAGUAAAACAGAGAAUGAAUUUUGUUCUCACUGAUACAGGAAGUGGAUCGAGAAUAUGUCCGUCAGCAUUCCUACGAUGACUAAGGGCCAUUUCUCGUGGGCAGAUGUCCGCAAGGUCGUUGUCACGACACUGUGCGCCGUCAGGAUGACUGGAGUACAAUAGUCUAUAUAUGUAUCAUGUUUUUAAGUAAAUUGAUAUAAUAUUAACUUUUCUGAUUGAAAAGGAAAUGUGGAAAAAGGGGGAAAAGAAAAAAAAACGAAGAAAAUAAGGAACUUUGUUGACUUUCAAUUUCACGCGAUUUCACCUUUUGAAAUGAAUUUUUUAAAUUCAUAGAAAAUAAAAAUGUCGUUUUAGUUUGCGAGUAUAUAUCUCGCUAUUACAUUUGCAUGUCUUUCCUUGUUAACUUCUUUCAACGGAAGCAAUAAAAAUGAGUCAAGAGUUUCUCUUCUCACACCCACACCCACCCCUUUUUUCUUUCUUUUUUCUUAUUUCUCCAUUUCAUCAGUCACAUGGGGCAAAACGAUUAUAUCCAAAGACGAUAAAUAUAGAAACGAAGGUACACGACGGGUGAUAUUUUCGGCAGGGUACGCGUCCCUGCACGCGAAACAUAGCGGCGAACCUAAAUCCAUUUACAUAAAAUGUUAGUGUCCGUAUAAGAUUCGCGAAGAGAGUGGAAAAGAGUGUGUGUACGUGCACGCACGCGCACGCGCGCGCGCGCAUGUGUGUGUGUAUAUAUGUGUGAAAGAGAAAGAGAAGAGAGAGAGAGGGAAGAGAAAGAGGAGUGUCUCGAGGAAGAAUGCGGCCCUUUAAAUUUCGCUUUACCUUCGACGAAGGAAGGGCCUUUCGUACUAAGACCAGUUUUCGAGGCACGUCGGCUGUAGGCGCGGACAAGCCAUUUCCAUUCGGUUAAGGAUUAAAUCGUACGUUAAAUCGCAAUUCGACUUUGCAAUACGAGAGGCGAUCAAUUCUGUUCGCAAAAUCAAAAUAAAAACGAAAAAAAUACAAAAAAAAAGAAACCAAAAAAAAAAGAAGGUGUAUAAAGUAAAUUUUCUAUUUUUUAUAACAUUACGAGAAUCAUAUACAACACAUGUGGAAUUAUAAUGUUUCACGUAAAACUUCUUUUCCAGUAUUUCAUUCUUUGAAUACAUUAAUGAUGUGAAAUAUUAAAUACGAUAUUACAGAAAUAUGGAAAUCAAUUUUAUUAUCAUUAAUAAUCAUUUGUACAUAAAUAACUUUGGCUAGCCUAUUAAAAGCUCAUUAAUACUUAAAAAGAGAGGUUGGUAACAUUAUCAAUAUUGGAACAAUAGAAAUCCAUUAUGAUUUGGUCACGAUCGACUUCUACAAAAUCUACGUCAACGAGAAGAAUAUGCAUUCAUGUAUCUAUACACCUGGUGCAUCCUCACUCCUCAGACUCGUUAGUAAUGGUUCCUCGUGGAGUAGACGCUUGCAGUUAACUACCGUGCUCCAAGGACAUCCACUCCCUCCUCCUCAUCUUCGUCAUCGUCCCUUCCCUAUCGCGAAUCUGCGUCGAGAUACUUUUGACUUCUCUCUUCGAUCGAGUCCCUACUUUUGUGUGCUUUGUUUUAUAUUUAACUUCAGUAUUACAUUUUCUUAACACGUACUCUUCUUUUUUUAGCGUAGUAAACGUCACUUUGAAAACUAUGUUAUAUUUUCAAAAUAUGACAAUAAUUGUAUAUGUAUGUGUGUGUGCAGGCGCAUGUGAGAGAGAAAGAGAGAGCUAUCCGUGAAAAUAAUACUCAGCUAUCGAAAAGGAUUACAUGCUAUCGAUUUUGCGAGAGAUCGAACUCAUCGACCGAUGAAACUCGUAGAUUGAAGAAGAGAGAUACUCGGAGGUCGAAAGAAACAAGAUACAGGUACUCUCUCUUUCUCUCUUUUUUUUUGCAGUGGCAUUACACGGAGGUAGAAGGACCUACGAGUGAGUGUUCAUCGCGGAGAAUGUUCUCGCGUGUAAUGCCGUAUAAGAGAGAGAUAGACAGAGAGAGAGAGAGAGAGAGAGAAAGAGUGAGAGAGAGAGAGAGAGAGAGAGAGAGAGAGAGAGAGAGACUUCCAUCGCUUUUCUAACCA
This is a long non-coding RNA of Vespa velutina, 3142 nucleotides long. RefSeq lists it as uncharacterized. NCBI's taxonomy places the organism in Eukaryota, Metazoa, Arthropoda, Insecta, Hymenoptera, Vespidae. The transcript is spliced from 2 exons. The record is from RefSeq and is a predicted model, not a curated record.